UCCUAAGGUCAUGACACCCUGAACAAAUCAGAUCCCAUCUGAUCUCAAGCUAAUCAGGGUUGGGCCUGGUUAGCAUUUAGAUGGGAAACCACCUAAAAACGACCAGGUGCUGUAGGCG
RNAcentral lists this ribosomal RNA (118 nucleotides) under Pteropus vampyrus (large flying fox). Lineage: Eukaryota; Metazoa; Chordata; Mammalia; Chiroptera; Pteropodidae. The record is from RNAcentral.